Molecule: ribosomal RNA, 421 nt
Filed under: Vibrio tasmaniensis
Lineage: Bacteria; Pseudomonadati; Pseudomonadota; Gammaproteobacteria; Vibrionales; Vibrionaceae
Description: bacterial LSU rRNA
Rfam family: Bacterial large subunit ribosomal RNA
Source: RNAcentral
GUUGUAUGGUUAAGUGACUAAGCGUACACGGUGGAUGCCUUGGCAGUCAGAGGCGAUGAAAGACGUAAUAACUUGCGAUAAGCCCAGAUUAGGUAGUAAUAACCUUUUGAGUCUGGGAUUUCUGAAUGGGGAAACCCACGUGCAYAAGCACGUAUCCUGUUGUGAAUACAUAGCAACAGGAGGCAAACCGGGGGAACUGAAACAUCUAAGUACCCCGAGGAAGAGAAAUCAACCGAGAUUCCGAAAGUAGCGGCGAGCGAAAUUGGAUUAGCCCUUAAGCUUUUAAUGAUGCAGGUGAAGAGUCUGGAAAGUSYCGCAAYAAAGGGUGAUAGCCCCGUAAYCGACAYMUCAUAAUCAGUGAAAWCGAGUAGGGCGGGACACGUGAUAUCCUGUCUGAAUAUGGGGGGACCAUCCUCCAAGG